UUAGCAUAUGUUUUGAAUCAUUGCUAGCCUUAUUAGAGUAUGUUUUUGUCAAGAUUCGAAUUUAAUAUUACUUAUCAACUAAGAAAACAACAAGAUUUGUCUUAUGCCCUUUCUAGACGUUCUUAUUUUAUACCAAAAGAGGGAGAAGCAGCUUUUGACUAACAAAAGAUAAUUUCACUGAAGCUAAAAUAAUUUCAUUUCCAAGCAAUGAAAUCAACAUUGAUUAUUGAUUUGACUUUUUUCAAGCAGAUCCAAGUAAGUAUGUCCUCAGAUCUUUUUGUUUAUGAUAUUAAAAAUAAUUCUACUAAAUCUCAAGAUACUUC
RNAcentral lists this long non-coding RNA (323 nucleotides) under Physcomitrium patens. RNAcentral describes it as "long non-coding RNA (PPAT_LNC014143)". The record is from RNAcentral. Lineage: Eukaryota; Viridiplantae; Streptophyta; Bryopsida; Funariales; Funariaceae.